GCGACUCCCAUGCAUCGGCUGAUAGCCCGGAGACAAGCGUAAUGAAGCAAAUAAGCAACAUGUAAGAUGUCAGAAAUGCUUGGAAUUUGGACAUUGGACUUAUGAAUGCACAGGAAAAAGAAAAUACCUACAUAGGCCCUCAAGGACAGCAGAACUAAAGAAAGCUUUAAAAGAAAAAGAAAACAGAUUAUUAUUACAACAAAGGAGCUUUUUUCCCCCUCGUGUUUAUCAGCAUUGGAGAAACCAAUGUAGAAAGAAAGGCCAAGAAAAAAAGGUCUAAGAGUGUAACCAGUUCCAGUAGCAGUAGCAGUGACAGUUCUGCCAGUGAUUCUUCAUCAGAGAGUGAAGAAACAUCUACCUCUUCCUCCUCAGAGGACAGUGACACUGAUGAAAGCUCCUCUAGUUCCUCAUCCUCAGCCUCCUCCACAACCUCUUCCUCCUCCUCUGAUUCAGACUCAGAUUCCAGUUCUUCGAGUAGCAGUAGCACCAGCACAGAGAGCAGCUCUGACGAUGAACCACCAAAGAAGAAGAAAAAGAAAUAGAGUUGCUCCGUUCAUAUUGGACCGAUGGACUGAAAACAUUGAUGUGAUUCUUGAAAGGGAAUUUAGAAUAUGUUAAGGCCAAGUAGGUUAACUGGUGAACAUUUCUAGAAUUCAAAAGUUUCUAAAUGUUUUACAUUGUAAGAGCAUAAAGAGUAUUAAUAAUGGCUUAU
RNAcentral lists this small RNA (712 nucleotides) under Pongo abelii (Sumatran orangutan). RNAcentral's name for it is "processed transcript". Lineage: Eukaryota; Metazoa; Chordata; Mammalia; Primates; Hominidae. The record is from RNAcentral.